GAAAUAUGAUCAAGUAAAAGCUGCUAACUUAUUACUUUAACGGUUAAAUCCCGUUUAUAUUUCU
RNAcentral lists this transfer RNA (64 nucleotides) under Margattea angusta. RNAcentral describes it as "tRNA-Ser". Lineage: Eukaryota; Metazoa; Arthropoda; Insecta; Blattodea; Pseudophyllodromiidae. The record is from RNAcentral.